AGGACGAACGCUGGCGGCGUGCUUAACACAUGCAAGUCGAGCGGAAAGGCCCUUCGGGGUACUCGAGCGGCGAACGGGUGAGUAACACGUGAGCAAUCUGCCCUUAGCUUCGGGAUAGCUCCGGGAAACCGGAAUUAAUACCGAAUAUGACUGUGGUCGACAUCUGCCACGGUGGAAAGUUUUUCGGCUAGGGAUGAGCUCGCGGCCUAUCAGCUUGUUGGUGGGGUAAUGGCCUACCAAGGCGACGACGGGUAGCCGGCCUGAGAGGGCGACCGGCCACACUGGGACUGAGACACGGCCCAGACUCCUACGGGAGGCAGCAGUGGGGAAUAUUGCGCAAUGGGCGAAAGCCUGACGCAGCGACGCCGCGUGGGGAUGAAGGCCUUCGGGUUGUAACCCCUUUCAGCAGGGACGAAGCGAAAGUGACGGUACCUGCAGAAGAAGCGCCGGCUAACUACGCGCCAGCAGCCGC
RNAcentral lists this ribosomal RNA (472 nucleotides) under uncultured bacterium. Its description in RNAcentral is "SSU rRNA". It matches the Rfam family "Bacterial small subunit ribosomal RNA", at positions 26 to 518 of the family's 1533-position model. The record is from RNAcentral.